GGCUCAGAUUGAACGCUGGCGGCAGGCCUAACACAUGCAAGUCGAGCGGUAACAGAAAGUAGCUUGCUACUUUGCUGACGAGCGGCGGACGGGUGAGUAAUGCUUGGGAACAUGCCUUGAGGUGGGGGACAACAGUUGGAAACGACUGCUAAUACCGCAUAAUGUCUACGGACCAAAGGGGGCUUCGGCUCUCGCCUUUAGAUUGGCCCAAGUGGGAUUAGCUAGUUGGUGAGGUAAUGGCUCACCAAGGCGACGAUCCCUAGCUGGUUUGAGAGGAUGAUCAGCCACACUGGGACUGAGACACGGCCCAGACUCCUACGGGAGGCAGCAGUGGGGAAUAUUGCACAAUGGGCGCAAGCCUGAUGCAGCCAUGCCGCGUGUGUGAAGAAGGCCUUCGGGUUGUAAAGCACUUUCAGUCAGGAGGAAAGCGUGGUGGUUAAUACCCAUCAUGUGUGACGUUACUGACAGAAGAAGCACCGGCUAACUCCGUGCCAGCAGCCGCGGUAAUACGGAGGGUGCGAGCGUUAAUCGGAAUUACUGGGCGUAAAGCGUACGCAGGCGGUUUGUUAAGCGAGAUGUGAAAGCCCCGGGCUCAACCUGGGAACUGCAUUUCGAACUGGCAAACUAGAGUGUGAUAGAGGGUGGUAGAAUUUCAGGUGUAGCGGUGAAAUGCGUAGAGAUCUGAAGGAAUACCGAUGGCGAAGGCAGCCACCUGGGUCAACACUGACGCUCAUGUACGAAAGCGUGGGGAGCAAACGGGAUUAGAUACCCCGGUAGUCCACGCCGUAAACGAUGUCUACUAGAAGCUCGGAGCCUCGGUUCUGUUUUUCAAAGCUAACGCAUUAAGU
This 848-nucleotide ribosomal RNA is filed under the name bacterium. RNAcentral describes it as "bacterial SSU rRNA". It matches the Rfam family "Bacterial small subunit ribosomal RNA", at positions 21 to 865 of the family's 1533-position model. The record is from RNAcentral.